RNAcentral lists this ribosomal RNA (341 nucleotides) under uncultured bacterium. RNAcentral's name for it is "bacterial SSU rRNA". It matches the Rfam family "Bacterial small subunit ribosomal RNA", at positions 1 to 334 of the family's 1533-position model. The record is from RNAcentral.
CGCUCGACAUCAGAGUUUGAUCCUGGCUCAGGAUGAACGCUGGCGGCGUGCCUAACACAUGCAAGUCGAACGGUUAAGCCACCUUCGGGUGGGGCAUACAGUGGCGAACGGGUGAGUAACACGUGACCAACCUGCCCCCCUGCUCCGGGACAACCUCGGGAAACCGAGGCUAAUACCGGAUGCUCCGGCCCCUCCGCAUGGAGGGGCCGGGAAAGCCUGGCGCGGCAAGGGAUGGGGUCGCGGCCCAUCAGGUAGACGGCGGGGUAGCGGCCCACCGUGCUUUCGACGGGUAGCCGGGUUGAGAGACCGACCGGCCACAUUGGGACUGAGAUACGGCCCAG